Molecule: long non-coding RNA, 472 nt
Organism: Zingiber officinale
Lineage: Eukaryota; Viridiplantae; Streptophyta; Magnoliopsida; Zingiberales; Zingiberaceae
Exons: 2
Source: RefSeq, a predicted model, not a curated record
CCCUCGUUAAAGCCCUCAUCCCUCGCUGAAGCCCUCGUCAAAUCCCUUACUAAAGCUGAACGCCAGCGAUUCUCCAUGCCAUAGCGCCAAAGCGUCCUCACGAUUCUCCUUGUUGAAGCCCUCCUCGUCGGGUCUUCGCUCUCUCGGUACGACGACUACGGGCGCAUCUCUGCUCUCUCAAAGACGUUGAAGACCUCCUCGCCAUGCCUUUCAUUCCUCAUUGCGAUGACUACUGGCCCUCUCUGGCUCUCUCAAAGGUCUUCAUGAUGUUCUCUUCGUUCUUCUAGGUUUGUUGAUGUUAAAAAUAAGGGUUAUGGAGGUAAGCUGAUUAGACUGUAAUUUUUUAUUAUUUCCCAUAUUAGUGUCAGGAGUGUUACAUUACUUUGUUUAUCUCUUUGUAUUUUUGAGUUAAAUUUUUCUUCACUAUCAGUGUUAUUUUGCUAAAAAUUUAAAUGAUUACUCUUUAUAAGUA